AUAGUUUUUUCUGCUCAAUGUAAAUAGCCGCAGUACUCUGACUGUGCAAAGGUAGCAUAAUAAUUUGUCUUUUAAUUGAAGUCUGGAAUAAACGAAUUAUGAAGAAAACUGUCUUUAUAUUUAUUUUAAUUUAAUUAUGAAGUGAAAAUACUUCAUCUUACAAAAGACGAGAAGACCCUAAAAAUUUUUAUUUUUGUUGGGGCAACAUUGUAUUACAAUAAAAAAAUAUUUUUAAAAUAAUAAAUUACUUUAGGGAUAACAGCAUAAUUUAUUAUGUUUGUGACCUCGAUGUUGGAUUAGGAAAAGUUAAAA
Molecule: ribosomal RNA, 312 nt
Filed under: Hypselostyla camelopardalis
Lineage: Eukaryota; Metazoa; Mollusca; Gastropoda; Stylommatophora; Camaenidae
Description: Cochlostyla camelopardalis partial 16S ribosomal RNA
Source: RNAcentral